This 700-nucleotide long non-coding RNA is filed under the name Dermacentor andersoni. RNAcentral describes it as "uncharacterized LOC126534121". The record is from RNAcentral. Lineage: Eukaryota; Metazoa; Arthropoda; Arachnida; Ixodida; Ixodidae.
UACACACUACCAUGCCUUAUUACCGUGAUCUUUCUGCCAGCGCAUUGUAUUAGCUGCAGCCAGAGCUUACCAAUUACACCAGUUGCAACGCUCCCCACAGACCCGUCACUUCAGCACCCAGACACACUUGGAGAAAAGCAUAGUGUUUUUAUUUGUGGCACCUAUGUACGAAAAAACUGUCAAGCUCCACUUCUCCAUCACUGCUACAAGAAAAAAAAAGUUUAAACAUUUUCAAGCAAAGUAUUUUUAAGUCGGGAUUUGCCAUUUUUUUAGCAUGUUUACCGGACAAUGGGUGACAUCUAAACAAAACUUCAUUUUUCCGCUCAAUUAAGCCUCACAUAUUGACUCGAAAAGCAUGCCCGGAGUUUUGGAACUGGUGAGAUUGAAGAACUCUGGUGACAGCAUUGUUGAAUCACUGUUGUGUGGUGAACAGAGUGGCUUGCUGUCCUUGCAGAACAAAGAGAGCCAGAAGAAGAAACACCCAUUUGAGAGUUCAGAUGACUACGUUGGAUGGCUUCCUCCAGAAGGCCAGUCUGGGGAUGGCAAGACACACCUCAACGCCAAGUAUGGGUACUAAGCCAGCGCCAGGUUGGAGAGGCAUGGUGGCUACAUCGUCGUGCAUGCACGUUCAUUUCACAUCACCUUUCGCGAAGAUGCCUGUGUAAAUAGCAGUCGAAAAGAAUAAAGACACUCUUGUUGA